This 253-nucleotide unclassified non-coding RNA is filed under the name uncultured Gammaproteobacteria bacterium. Its description in RNAcentral is "contains 16S-23S intergenic spacer region". It matches the Rfam family "Bacterial small subunit ribosomal RNA", at positions 524 to 776 of the family's 1533-position model. The record is from RNAcentral. Lineage: Bacteria; Pseudomonadati; Pseudomonadota; Gammaproteobacteria.
UACGGAGGGUGCGAGCGUUAAUCGGAAUUACUGGGCGUAAAGCGCGCGUAAGCGGCUAAGUAAGCCGGUUGUGAAAGCCCCGGGCUCAACCUGGGAAUGGCAUCCGGAACUGUUUAGCUAGAGGUCGAGAGAGGUGAGUGGAAUUCCGAGUGUAGAGGUGAAAUGCGUAGAUAUGUGGAGGAACACCAGUGGCGAAGGCGGCUCUCUGGUCUGUAACUGACGCUGAGGCGCGAAAGCGUGGGGAGCAAACAGG